Molecule: non-coding RNA, 1679 nt
Organism: Gossypium raimondii (Peruvian cotton)
Lineage: Eukaryota; Viridiplantae; Streptophyta; Magnoliopsida; Malvales; Malvaceae
Source: Rfam
AUUUAAAGAAUAAACCGUACUUAUUGGCUAAGCCAAAAAUUCUAAAAAUUUUAUGGUAAUGCCUCGUACCCUAUUCCGGCGUCGAAUAUGGGUAAGGGGUGUUACAAUGUGACAUCGCCAGAUUCGGCCAUAAUGUUUUGGCCGGGUUUGGGAUGUUACAACGAGAGCGGGACCAAAUUGAGGCAAACUUUGAAUACUAAAUAUGACCUCAAAAUAACAGAGGUCGAGGUCGGCCAAUGAGACGGUGGGGGAUAAGCUUCAUCUUCGAGAGGGAAACAGUCCCGAUCACCAGCUAAGGCCUCUAAAUGACUGCUCAAUAAUAAAGGAGGUAAGGGUGCAUGAGCGAUAGUAGACGAAGCGGAAGUAAGAAUGUUAGAUUGAGUAAUGCAAACAUUGGUGAGAAUUCAAUGCCCCGAAAACCCAAGGUUUCUUUUGCAACGUUCGUCCAUGGAGGGUGAGUCAGGGCCUAAGAUCAGGUUGAAAGGCGUAGUUGAUGGACAACAGGUGAAUAUUUCUAUACUACUCCUUGUUGGUCCCGAGGGAUAGAGAAGGCUAGGUUAGCCGAAAGAUGGUUAUCGAUUCAAAGACGCAAGAUGACCCUACUUUUUCAAGGUAAGAAGGGGUAGAGAAAAUGCCCUGAGCCAAUGUUCGAGUACCAAGUGCUACGGCGUAGAAGUAACCCAUGCUAUACUCCUAGGAAAAGCUCAAACGACCUUCAAGAAAAGGUUACAUGUACCCAAAACUGACAUAGGUGGGUAGGUAGAGAAUACCUAGGGGCGCGAGACAACUCUCUCCAAGGAACUUGACAAAAUAGCCCUGUAACUUCGAGAGAAAGGGUACCUCCUCACAAAAGCGGUCAUAAUGACUAGGCUUGGGCAACUGUUUACCAAAAACACAAGUCUCUGGGAAGUCGUAAGACCAUGUAUAGGGUUACUCCUACCCAGUACCGGAAGGUCAAGGAAGUUAGUGACCUGAUGACAGGGGAGCCGGUGACCAAAGCCUUGGUGAACAACAGUCGCAACUAUAACGAUCCUAAGGUAGUGAAAUUUCUUGUCAGGUAAGUGAACUAAACAUGUUUAUGAAGAUGCAGACUACUCGCACGUGGACAGAAAGACCCUAUGAAGCUUCACUGUUCCUUGGGAUUGGCUUUGAGCUUUUCCUACGCAGCUUACGUGGAAGGCGAAGAAGGCCUCCUUCCGGGGGGCUCGAGCCAUCACUGAGAUACGACUCUAAAAGAGCUAGAAUUAUAACCAUUUUUCAGGACCUACGGGCCAAUGGACAGUCUCAAGUAGACAGUUUCUAUGGGGUGUAGGCUUCCCAAAAGGUAACGGAGGUGUGAAAAGGUUUCCUUGGGCCAGACGGAGAUUGGCCCUUGAGUGCAAAGGCAGAAGGGAGCUUGAUUGCAAGAACCACUCGUCAAGCAGGGGAGAAAGUCAGCCUUAGUGAUCUGACAGUGCCGAGUGGAUGGGUCGUCACUGAACGGAUAAAAGUUACUUUAGGGAUAAUAGGCUGAUCUUCCCCAAGAGCUCACAUCGACGGGAAGGUUGGCACCUCAACGUCUGUUCUUCACCACCUGGGGCUGUAGUAUAUUCCAAGGGUUGGGUUGUUCGCCCAUUAAGAGUUUAAAAUGUUUUAUUUUGUUAGAGUUUAAUAUUGUACAAAGUUUUGUCUUUAAUUUU